AACCGCUACCACCUGCAACUGCA
Molecule: non-coding RNA, 23 nt
Filed under: Arabidopsis thaliana (thale cress)
Lineage: Eukaryota; Viridiplantae; Streptophyta; Magnoliopsida; Brassicales; Brassicaceae
Source: RNAcentral